GUUCAAUCAAUAAUCUAUCUUCUUCUCGAUCUAAUUACUACUUUUUCUAGGUAUCGUUUUCGUGUUUGAUUAGUUUUCUAGGGUUUCAGUAAUGGCGCCGCCUGGAGAAAUACCGUCGAACAAUCUAUGGGUUGGUAAUAUAGCACCAGAUGUUACUGAUGCAGAUCUAACGUCUUUGUUCCAGAAAUACGGACAGCUUGAUAGUGUAACCGCUUAUUCUUCUCGCGGAUUUGGUUUUCUCUAUUUCAAAAACAUCAACGAUUCUAAGGAGGCUAAAGACGCGCUUCAGGGAUCCCUCUUCCAUGGAAAUCCUCUUAGGAUUGAAUUCGCAAAGCCGG
This 338-nucleotide unclassified non-coding RNA is filed under the name Hevea brasiliensis (rubber tree). Lineage: Eukaryota; Viridiplantae; Streptophyta; Magnoliopsida; Malpighiales; Euphorbiaceae. The record is from RNAcentral.